Long non-coding RNA from Triplophysa dalaica, 449 nucleotides. RefSeq lists it as uncharacterized. The transcript is spliced from 3 exons. NCBI's taxonomy places the organism in Eukaryota, Metazoa, Chordata, Actinopteri, Cypriniformes, Nemacheilidae. The record is from RefSeq and is a predicted model, not a curated record.
GGACACACUGGUGGUGGCUGCUGGGAUCGAACCAGCAACCUUUGAGUUACCAGUUCAGUGGUUUAACCCGCUAGACCACCAUCUCACCAUAUAUUUAUACACAGGUAUGUGCAAUCCCCUGGGAUCGAACCCACAACCUUGUGUUGUUAACACAAUGCUCUUACAGGAAAACAGGAAAGCUUCUUAUAUGUUCUGCAGGAGAAAGAAAGUCACACAGAUUUGGAAUGACAUGAGGAGUCAAGGGUCGAGUCUCUUUCCUGUGGAGGUGCAAGUCGAACCCCUUUGUGCCGUAUUGAUUGUCAACUUGGGUGCCACUGCGUGUUAUUUUCCAUCGCCAUCUCCAGAUGCUGCAGCUUCUGAGCAGACCACUCGCUCUCGCCCGGCGGGGCGUCCCUCUGCACCACGUUGCUCCCGGCGAUGUGGUCCCCACCGCCCUGACAGCCCUCCAU